Molecule: ribosomal RNA, 464 nt
Filed under: uncultured bacterium
Lineage: Bacteria
Description: partial 16S ribosomal RNA
Rfam family: Bacterial small subunit ribosomal RNA
Source: RNAcentral
AGAGUUUGAUCAUGGCUCAGAACGAACGCUGGCGGCAGGCUUAACACAUGCAAGUCGAACGCCCCGCAAGGGGAGNGGCAGACGGGUGAGUAACGCGUGGGAAUCUACCNNNCCCUNCGGAAUAACNCANGGAAACUUGUGCUAAUACCGUAUACGCCCUWCGGGGGAAAGAUUUAUCGGGGNUNGAUGAGCCCGCGUUGGAUUAGCUAGUUGGUGGGGUAAAGGCCUACCAAGGCGACGAUCCAUAGCUGGUCUGAGAGGAUGAUCAGCCACAUUGGGACUGAGACACGGCCCAAACUCCUACGGGAGGCAGCAGUGGGGAAUAUUGGACAAUGGGCGCAAGCCUGAUCCAGCCAUGCCGCGUGAGUGAUGAAGGCCYUAGGGUUGUAAAGCUCUUUCACCGGAGAAGAUAAUGACGGUAUCCGGAGAAGAAGCCCCGGCUAACUUCGUGCCAGCAGCCGCGG